RNAcentral lists this ribosomal RNA (694 nucleotides) under uncultured bacterium. RNAcentral describes it as "bacterial SSU rRNA". It matches the Rfam family "Bacterial small subunit ribosomal RNA", at positions 275 to 963 of the family's 1533-position model. The record is from RNAcentral.
UACGAUGAGUAGCCGGCCUGAGAGGGUAAUCGGCCACACUGGGACUGGAACACGGCCCAGACUCCUACGGGAGGCAGCAGUGGGGAAUAUUGCGCAAUGGGCGAAAGCCUGACGCAGCGACGCCGCGUGAGGGAUGAAGGCCUUCGGGUCGUAAACCUCUGUCAGGAGGGAAGAAGUGUACGGGUGCUAAUCAGCCCGUAUUUGACGGUACCUCCAAAGGAAGCACCGGCUAACUCCGUGCCAGCAGCCGCGGUAAUACGUAGGUGGCAAGCGUUAUCCGGAAUUAUUGGGCGUAAAGCGCGCGUAGGCGGCUUUUUAAGUCAGAGGUGAAAUCCCACGGCUCAACCGUGGAACUGCCUUUGAUACUGGAAGGCUUGAGUUUGUGAGAGGAUAGUGGAAUUCCAGGUGUAGGAGUGAAAUCCGUAGAGAUCUGGAGGAACAUCAGUGGCGAAGGCGACUAUCUGGCACAACACUGACGCUGAGGUGCGAAAGCGUGGGUAUCAAACAGGAUUAGAUACCCUGGUAGUCCACGCUGUAAACGAUGGAUACUAGGUGCUGGGAGCUCGACUCUCGGUGCCGUAGCUAACGCGUUAAGUAUCCCGCCUGGGGAGUACGGUCGCAAGGCUGAAACUCAAAGAAAUUGACGGGGGCCCGCACAAGCGGUGGAGUAUGUGGUUUAAUUCGAUGCAACGCG